GGAUGAGCCCGCGUAGGAUUAGCUAGUUGGUGAGGUAAAAGCUCACCAAGGCGACGAUCCUUAGCUGGUCUGAGAGGAUGAUCAGCCACACUGGGACUGAGACACGGCCCAGACUCCUACGGGAGGCAGCAGUGGGGAAUAUUGGACAAUGGGCGAAAGCCUGAUCCAGCAAUGCCGCGUGAGUGAUGAAGGCCUUAGGGUUGUAAAGCUCUUUUACCCGGGAUGAUAAUGACAGUACCGGGAGAAUAAGC
RNAcentral lists this ribosomal RNA (251 nucleotides) under Sphingomonas asaccharolytica. RNAcentral describes it as "partial 16S rRNA". It matches the Rfam family "Bacterial small subunit ribosomal RNA", at positions 223 to 491 of the family's 1533-position model. The record is from RNAcentral. RNAcentral also lists the same sequence under 1 other name. Lineage: Bacteria; Pseudomonadati; Pseudomonadota; Alphaproteobacteria; Sphingomonadales; Sphingomonadaceae.